UCUCAUUGGUUUGGCUUGUGGUUCUUUCCUUCAAAAUUGAGUUUUUCACGUUGGCUUGGCUUGUGGAAUCUUCCAGAUCCUUAAAAAUUCCAAAGUUUCCUUCCAAAUCUCAUUUCUCACAUUGCCUUUGUUUGUGGCAUCUUCCAGAUACUUAAAAAUUCCAAAAUUUCAUCCCAAAUCAAAUUCUAAAAUUUCAUCCCAAAUCUCAUUUUUCACAUUGGCUCUGCUUGCAGAACCUUCACAUCCUCAAAAAUUCCGAUAUUUCCUUCAAAAAAUCGCAUUUUUCACAUUGGCUCUGCUUGUGGUUCCUCCAAAUUUCAAAAUUUUCUGUGUCCAACAUCCUCAGGGUCCUGAAGGAAUUUUCCCUUUUUUUUUUNACAACAAUGACAAUUCCAUAUAA
This 400-nucleotide long non-coding RNA is filed under the name Zonotrichia albicollis (white-throated sparrow). RNAcentral describes it as "lncRNA (ENSZALG00000001389.1)". The record is from RNAcentral. Lineage: Eukaryota; Metazoa; Chordata; Aves; Passeriformes; Passerellidae.